UCAACCUACAAAAAUCAAGGUGGUUAUGAUUUGCUGGGUAGGACUAGAGAUCAAAUAAGAACAACUGAGCAAGUAAAUGCUGCACUAACCACAUGCAAAGAUAUGAAAUUGGAUGGCCUUGUUAUAAUUGGAGGGGUUACAUCAAAUACAGAUGCUGCUCAGCUUGCUGAAACAUUUGCUGAGGCAAAGUGCUCAACAAAGGUGGUUGGCGUUCCUGUUACUUUGAAUGGAGAUCUCAAGAAUCAAUUUGUUGAAACAAAUGUUGGUUUUGAUACUAUAUGUAAGGUUAAUUCACAGCUCAUCAGUAAUGUCUGUACUGAUGCUCUUUCUGCAGAGA
RNAcentral lists this unclassified non-coding RNA (337 nucleotides) under Hevea brasiliensis (rubber tree). Lineage: Eukaryota; Viridiplantae; Streptophyta; Magnoliopsida; Malpighiales; Euphorbiaceae. The record is from RNAcentral.